GUGGGGAAUAUUGGACAAUGGGCGAAAGCCUGAUCCAGCAAUGCCGCGUGAGUGAUGAAGGCCCUAGGGUUGUAAAGCUCUUUUACCAGGGAUGAUAAUGACAGUACCUGGAGAAUAAGCUCCGGCUAACUCCGUGCCAGCAGCCGCGGUAAUACGGAGGGAGCUAGCGUUGUUCGGAAUUACUGGGCGUAAAGCGCGCGUAGGCGGUUUUUUAAUUCAGAGGUGAAAGCCCGGGGCUCAACCCCGGAAUUGCCUUUGAAACUGGAAAACUUGAAUCUUGGAGAGGUCAGUGGAAUUCCGAGUGUAGAGGUGAAAUUCGUAGAUAUUCGGAAGAACACCAGUGGCGAAGGCGACUGACUGGACAAGUAUUGACGCUGAGGUGCGAAAGCGUGGGGAGCAAACAGGAUUAGAUACCCCUGUAGUCC
RNAcentral lists this ribosomal RNA (425 nucleotides) under uncultured bacterium. RNAcentral's name for it is "partial 16S ribosomal RNA". It matches the Rfam family "Bacterial small subunit ribosomal RNA", at positions 354 to 796 of the family's 1533-position model. The record is from RNAcentral.